Molecule: ribosomal RNA, 497 nt
Filed under: uncultured bacterium
Lineage: Bacteria
Description: partial 16S ribosomal RNA
Rfam family: Bacterial small subunit ribosomal RNA
Source: RNAcentral
GAUGAACGCUGGCGGCGUGCCUAAUACAUGCAAGUCGAGCGAACGGACGAGAAGCUUGCUUCUCUGAUGUUAGCGGCGGACGGGUGAGUAACACGUGGAUAACCUACCUAUAAGACUGGGAUAACUUCGGGAAACCGGAGCUAAUACCGGAUAAUAUUUUGAACCGCAUGGUUCAAAAGUGAAAGACGGUCUUGCUGUCACUUAUAGAUGGAUCCGCGCUGCAUUAGCUAGUUGGUAAGGUAACGGCUUACCAAGGCAACGAUGCAUAGCCGACCUGAGAGGGUGAUCGGACACACGGGAACUGAGACACGGUCCAGACUCCUACGGGAGGCAGCAGUAGGGAAUCUUCCGCGAUGGGCGAAAGCCUGACGGAGCAACGCCGCGUGAGUGAUGAAGGUCUUCGGAUCGUAAAACUCUGUUAUUAGGGAAGAACAUAUGUGUAAGUAACUGUGCACAUCUUGACGGUACCUAAUCAGAAAGCCACGGCUAACUACGUG